CAAAAACAUCGCCUCUUGCCUCAAACAUAAGAGGUCCAGCCUGCCCAGUGACUAUUGUUCAACGGCCGCGGUAUCCUAACCGUGCGAAGGUAGCGUAAUCACUUGUUCUUUAAAUGAGGACUAGUAUGAAUGGCAUCACGAGGGUUAUACUGUCUCCUCUCUCUAAUCAGUGAAACUAAUCUCCCCGUGAAGAAGCGGGGAUGAAAUUAUAAGACGAGAAGACCCUAUGGAGCUUUAAGUAAAUCUUCAAACGCUUGUAUACCCUAACAGUCAUAGACCCUUAAAAUUAACUUUAGCGCCAUGAAGAUGAACUUUAGGUUGGGGUGACCACGGAGUACAAAAAAACCUCUACGCUGAACAAGUCUCAAAGCCUUGAGUAAAGGGCCACAACCCGAUACACUAAUAAACUAACACCAAUUGACCCA
RNAcentral lists this ribosomal RNA (425 nucleotides) under Scinax boesemani group sp. ABGD cluster 8. RNAcentral's name for it is "partial large subunit ribosomal RNA". It matches the Rfam family "Bacterial large subunit ribosomal RNA", at positions 1808 to 2422 of the family's 2925-position model. The record is from RNAcentral. Lineage: Eukaryota; Metazoa; Chordata; Amphibia; Anura; Hylidae.